CCUACGGGUGGCAGCAGUGAGGAAUAUUGGUCAAUGGCCGAGAGGCUGAACCAGCCAAGUCGCGUGAGGGAUGACGGCCCUACGGGUUGUAAACCUCUUUUGUCGGGGAGCAAAGCGAGUCACGUGUGCCUCAUUGCGAGUACCCGAAGAAAAAGCAUCGGCUAACUCCGUGCCAGCAGCCGCGGUAAUACGGAGGAUGCGAGCGUUAUCCGGAUUUAUUGGGUUUAAAGGGUGCGCAGGCGGUGGUGAAAGUCAGCGGUCAAAUUGCGGGGCUAAACCCCGUAAUGCCGUUGAAACUGGAUCCCUUGAGUGCACUAGAGGUAUGCGGAAUUCGUGGUGUAGCGGUGAAAUGCUUAGAUAUCACGCAGAACUCCGAUUGCGAAGGCAGCAUACCGGCGCGCAACUGACGCUCAUGCACGAAAGUGUGGGUAUCGAACAGGAUUAGAUACCCGGGUAGUC
This 459-nucleotide ribosomal RNA is filed under the name uncultured bacterium. RNAcentral's name for it is "partial 16S ribosomal RNA". It matches the Rfam family "Bacterial small subunit ribosomal RNA", at positions 338 to 795 of the family's 1533-position model. The record is from RNAcentral.